GAUGAACGCUGGCGGCGUGCUUAACACAUGCAAGUCGAACGGGAAUUACUUUAUUGAAACUUCGGUCGAUUUAAUUUAAUUCUAGUGGCGGACGGGUGAGUAACGCGUGGGUAACCUGCCUUAUACAGGGGGAUAACAGUCAGAAAUGGUUGCAAAUACCGCUUAAGCGCACGGAGCUGCAUGGCUCGGUGGGAAAAACUCGGGUGGUAUAAGAUGGACCCGCGUUGGAUUAGCUUGUUGGUGGGGUAACGGCCCACCAAGGCGACGAUCCAUAGCCGGCCUGAGAGGGUGAACGGCCACAUUGGGACUGAGACACGGCCCAGACUCCUACGGGAGGCAGCAGUGGGGAAUAUUGCACAAUGGGGGAAACCCUGAUGCAGCGACGCCGCGUGAAGGAAGAAGUAUCUCGGUAUGUAAACUUCUAUCAGCAGGGAAGAUAGUGACGGUACCUGACGAAGAAGCCCCGGCUAACUACGUG
RNAcentral lists this ribosomal RNA (478 nucleotides) under uncultured bacterium. RNAcentral's name for it is "partial 16S ribosomal RNA". It matches the Rfam family "Bacterial small subunit ribosomal RNA", at positions 28 to 507 of the family's 1533-position model. The record is from RNAcentral.